GCCCUGGUCGCUCAAAGGUCAGAGCACUUGUCUGAAAAACAAGGUCUUCCAAGACAUCUGGGUUCGAGCCCCAGCCAGGGCG
This 82-nucleotide transfer RNA is filed under the name Candidatus Pacearchaeota archaeon. RNAcentral describes it as "tRNA-Phe". It matches the Rfam family "tRNA". From Rfam's summary of the family: Transfer RNA (tRNA) molecules are approximately 80 nucleotides in length. Their secondary structure includes four short double-helical elements and three loops (D, anti-codon, and T loops). Lineage: Archaea; Nanobdellati. The record is from RNAcentral.